UAUCGUAGCCUAUGAGGUUUAUCCGAGGCGCGAUUAUUGCUAGUUGAAAACUUUACCCAAUACCCCGCCGAGACGACUUGAAAUAUAGUUGGCUUUGGCAAUUUUUGGUGGUCUCUCAGGAGACUGAUAUGUUUGUGAAAUAUUAACUGUGAAUUGUUGAUAGUGUUACUAAUACUACCUCUAACGAGCGCAUGAAACGCAAUUCAUCAUGGAAAUCUGAAAUGAUCCGUGUUGGAAAUCACUGGGUUUGUUCGACUAUGCAGCCGACAGUGCAGUACGCCCUGUACAUUGCAAUGGAAGCAUAGUGUGAUUUCACUGAGGAAAACAUGCAGCAAAUUAGGCGAUGGUGGUGCCUAGUUCUCCUGCAGAACUUUCCCAUGCCCUAAGACUGAAGAAGAGAGGUUGAAAGAUCGAAAACAAAACCCACUACAGGAUGAUGUAGAGGUCACAGUAUGUCACAUCAGCAUCCAGCUCUGCAGGAUCAGAUGAUACUGAAAACAAAAUGCACGGCGAACUGGGAGCUGUGAACUGGGAAGCAGAUGUUCUUCUAAGGGACACCCUAGAGGCAGCAAGGUGGUGGAACUCCAAACAUUUAAAGGCACCGUUUCCCUCCCUAGUGUAACUGGGAUGGACGGGGAAGUGGACGGGGAAGACCGCAUUACAACCCUUAAAGAACUACGGUUGUAUGAUGGACGGGGAAGACCGCAUUACAACCCUUAAAGAACUACGGUUGUAUGAUGGACAGGGAAGACCAAAUUACAACCCUUAAAGAACUACGGUUGUAUGAUGGAGGGGGAAGACCACAUUACAACCCUUAAAGAACUACGGUUGUAUGAUGGACAGGGAAGACCGCAUUACAACCCUUAAAGAACUACGGUUGUAUGAUGGAGGGGGAAGACCACAUUACAACCCUUAAAGAACUAGGGUUGUAUGAUGGACAGGGAAGACCACAUUACAACCCUUAAAGAACUACGGUUGUAUGAUGGACAGGGAAGACCACAUUACAACCCUUAAAGAACUACGGUUGUAUGAUGGAGGGGGAAGACCACAUUACAACCCUUAAAGAACUAUGGUUGUAUGAUGGAGGGGGAAGACCACAUUACAACCCUUAAAGAACUACGGUUGUAUGAUGGACAGGGAAGACCACAUUACAACCCUUAAAGAACUAAGGUUGUAUGAUGGACAGGGAAGACGCAUUACAACCCUUAAAGAACUAGGGUUGUAUGAUGGAGGGGGAAGACCACAUUACAACCCUUAAAGAACUACGGUUGUAUGAUGGAGGGGGAAGACCGCAUUACAACCCUUAAAGAACUACGGUUGUAUGAUGGACAGGGAAGACCACAUUACAACCCUUAAAGAACUACGGUUGUAUGAUGGACAGGGAAGACUGCAUUACAACCCUUAAAGAACUACAGUUGUAUGAUGGACGGGGAAGACCGCAUUACAACCCUUAAAGAACUACAGUUGUAUGAUGGACAGGGAAGACCACAUUACAACCCUUAAAGAACUACGGUUGUAUGAUGGAGGGGGAAGACAACAUUACAACCCUUAAAGAACUAGGGUUGUAUGAUGGACAGGGAAGACCACAUUACAACCCUUAAAAAACUACGGUUGUAUGAUGGAGGGGGAAGACCGCAUUACAACCCUUAAAGAACUAUGGUUGUAUGAUGACAGGGAAGACCACAUUACAACCCUUAAAGAACUACAGUUGUAUGAUGGACGGGGAAGAUCGCAUUACAACCCUUAAAGAACUACGGUUGUAUGAUGGACGGGGAAGACCGCAUUACAACCCUUAAAGAACUACGGUUGUAUGAUGGAGGGGGAAGACCGCAUUACAACCCUUAAAGAACUAGGGUUGUAUGAUGGACAGGGAAGACCACAUUACAACCCUUAAAGAACUACGGUUGUAUGAUGGACAGGGAAGACCGCAUUACACCCCUUAAAGAACUACAGUUGUAUGAUGGACGGGGAAGACCGCAUUACAACCCUUAAAGAACUACGGUUGUAUGAUGGAGGGGGAAGACCACAUUACAACCCUUAAAGAACUAAGGUUGUAUGAUGGAGGGGGAAGACCACAUUACAACCCUUAAAGAACUAUGAUUGUAUGAUGGACAGGGAAGACGCAUUACAACCCUUAAAGAACUACGGUUGUAUGAUGGACAGGGAAGACCACAUUACAACCCUUAAAGAACUACGGUGGUAUGAUGGAGGGGGAAGACCACAUUACAACCCUUAAAGAACUACGGUUGUAUGAUGGAGGGGGAAGACCACAUUACAACCCUUAAAGAACUACGGUUGUAUGAUGGACAGGGAAGACGCAAUACAACCCUUAAAGAACUACGGUUGUAUGAUGGACAGGGAAGACCACAUUACAGCCCUUAAAGAACUUCGGUUGUAUGAUGGACAGGGAAGACCACAUUACAGCCCUUAAAGAACUACGGUUGUAUGAUGGACAGGGAAGACCACAUUACAACCCUUAAAGAACUACGGUUGUAUGAUGGACAGGGAAGACCACAUUACAACCCUUAAAGAACUACGGUUGUAUGAUGGCCUGGAUGAAGAGGAAAAUAUUCUCCUCAAGGAACCAUUCAUGUUCCAGUUACAGAGAGAUUAUGAGAUGUUCUAUGUGGAGGCAGUUGACAACAAGACAAUGACUGUCUGCCUCUUCUGAGGAGCAGGAGUGAAACCCUUUUUGAGGAGUGGUCAAACCUUGUUUUUGUCUGCUGUGUUAAUUGUUUGAAUUGUUAAUUGUGUUAUGUUGUUUAGUAAAGAUGACGUAGAAGUCA
Molecule: non-coding RNA, 2786 nt
Organism: Salmo salar (Atlantic salmon)
Lineage: Eukaryota; Metazoa; Chordata; Actinopteri; Salmoniformes; Salmonidae
Source: RefSeq, a predicted model, not a curated record